Molecule: transfer RNA, 75 nt
Filed under: Lactococcus cremoris
Lineage: Bacteria; Bacillati; Bacillota; Bacilli; Lactobacillales; Streptococcaceae
Description: Lactococcus lactis subsp. cremoris tRNA-OTHER
Rfam family: tRNA
About the family: Transfer RNA (tRNA) molecules are approximately 80 nucleotides in length. Their secondary structure includes four short double-helical elements and three loops (D, anti-codon, and T loops). Further hydrogen bonds mediate the characteristic L-shaped molecular structure. tRNAs have two regions of fundamental functional importance: the anti-codon, which is responsible for specific mRNA codon recognition, and the 3' end, to which the tRNAs corresponding amino acid is attached (by aminoacyl-tRNA synthetases). tRNAs cope with the degeneracy of the genetic code in two manners: having more than one tRNA (with a specific anti-codon) for a particular amino acid; and 'wobble' base-pairing, i.e. permitting non-standard base-pairing at the 3rd anti-codon position.
Source: RNAcentral
GGGAGUUUUAGCUCAGCUGGGAGAGCAUCUGCCUACAAGCAGAGGGUCAGCGGUUCGAUUCCCUGUUAACUCCCU